UGCAGCAACAAUAUUUUAUAAGAAAUACUGGAAAAAUGCAGGAGGAGCUCAAGCUGCACAAGAAGUUGAACUUCAGAAUCAUGAAAGUUCACAUGAAGCUGCAGCUGAAUGAAAACUCUGCAGUCCUGGAUUUCAAUAAGUGACGUUUUGGUAAAAAUAAGAAAAUUAUUUUUGACAAUUUAAUUGUCUCUUUUUUUGUGAUUAAUCUAAUAAGGAGCAAUGAGAGAAGCUACAUGGCUCACAAUAAAAAUACAGAUUUAGUAUUUUGGACAGAACAAUCCUGACGUUUCCUGUCAAAGGAACGAGCUGCACAGUGGAGCAGUGGGUAGAACUGCUGCCUCACAACAGGAAGGUUCUGGGUUUGAGUCCUGAGUCUUUAUGCAUGAAGUCAGUAUGGUUUAAUAACUGCUCUGUGUGUGUGUGGUUGUGUGUGUGUGUGUGUGUGUGUGUGUGUGUGUGUGUGUGUGUGUGUGGUGGUGUGUCCUGUGAUGAACUGCCAACCUAACACCAAAGUUUUCUUUAUAUCAUGUCAGUUUUAAACCACUAUGGUUUAAGAAGGAAAACUUAACAUGUUUUAUAUUUUUUAAAUAUUUAAAUAUCGGAAAAUCGUGAGUAAAAUAAAUUCUCAGCUCAGACUUGGUUUACAAUGUUGCAUUAAAUUCACUAAUUCAAUUUAUACACAAAACCACAAUUAACGUUUUGUUGCCACAAGGUUAAUUUAGCUGAUUUUACUCCUGUCUGUUUGAAGAGGAAAAUAAAAACUUCCACAGCGCUCCGAUGUAAAGAUGCAAAAUAAAAAUUUAUUCCACAGUUUUGCUUUAUCCUUUACAAGAGCAGCUGAAUCCUAGAAAACCUCCACAAACAUCCUUGUAAAAUCUAAUUGAAGUUUAUAUAAUUUGUUCAAUUAUAUUUUUUCCUGAAAUGUGAUUAUUUUCUCAUUAAUGUGUUUUUAAUGAGGAUUUAUUUUGUCCUAUGACUGAAGAUUUGAUGAAUGUUUUCCUUAUUUUAUAAGAAAUAAUUAACUCUGGAGGAAAGAUCUGUCACAUCAAAGAUUGUUUGAAGUUUAAAUGCAAAAGUUGGAAAUAUUUUUUUUGUUUUAUUAUCCUGUACUAGUAAUAUAAUAUGUGUCUUUUAAUAAAGUUUAUUUCUCUUCA
This is a long non-coding RNA of Xiphophorus maculatus (southern platyfish), 1154 nucleotides long. RefSeq lists it as uncharacterized. The record is from RefSeq and is a predicted model, not a curated record. The transcript is spliced from 3 exons. NCBI's taxonomy places the organism in Eukaryota, Metazoa, Chordata, Actinopteri, Cyprinodontiformes, Poeciliidae.